This 3590-nucleotide long non-coding RNA is filed under the name Capsicum annuum. Its description in RNAcentral is "long non-coding RNA (CANN_LNC019905)". Lineage: Eukaryota; Viridiplantae; Streptophyta; Magnoliopsida; Solanales; Solanaceae. The record is from RNAcentral.
UUAAUUUUCGAAUCUUUUCAUUAGCUCCUAAAUUCUCAUUGCCCGAACUCCCUAUCUGAUCAGUGACAACAAACUCAAUAUCCUUGUUGGCCAUAACUUUCUCUGUGAAUUGGUGCAAUAUAGAGGACCAGCCAAAAUUCCACAAACCAACCACCUUAAACUAACUGGACAAGAGAUAGCAAAUGCGUUAGAAUUCAACACUUUUUUUUCAAAACCUUUUUUUUUUCUUUUUGAAAAGGUCACUGAACCCAAGAGGGGCGCCUACGUAUCUCACUCCCGAGAGAGGAGAACCAAGUGUGCGUAAUUCGUGAAGUCUUGCCAAAAUAUCCAAUUAAUUCUUUUUCCUUUCUUUUUUCCUUUUUCUUGAAACUUUAAAAAGAAAAGGAAAUAACAAAUUGUCAAAAGAAUUGACGAAUUUUUUUAUUUUUUUUUGCGUUUUCAAGUUUAAACUCCCUAUACAAAAUGAAACAUAUGAUUGCCAAAGAAAAAUCUUUUUGGGCUUUCGAUUUUGAAUUUCAUAUGAAAAUGAAACUUAAAACUAUUAAAGAAAAAAUAUAUUUGUAGUUUUCUUUUAAAGAUGUAUAUGAAAUACCUACUCUAAUAAAGAGUGAAGAAAAUCUUUUUUUUUGAAUUUUUCAAAUAAGAUCCCCGAACCAACAAUAGGCUGCCUACGUAUCUCACUCCCGAAAGAGGAGAAUCAAGGGUGUGUAGUUCUUCCAGAUUGGAUAAUUAAUGAUUAAAUAACAAGCUAGACUCUGACUUAAAAGAUACUACCAAAGACAGACGAUGAACCAAGUUAAUAAAAUCUUUUGAGUUUUCAUUUUGACACUUCACAGAAAAAUGACAUCAACAACUUUGAAAGAAAAAUCUAUUUGGUAUUUUCGUUAUAUGAAAUGUACAAAAUUUCUACCAUCUUAUUUUGCAUUUUUCUUUUAUAAAAACUCCUAUGAAUGAAAAAUCUUUUUUGAAUUUUUCGAAUUGUGAAUGCAUGCUAAACGAGACAAAGAAAAAUCUUUUUGAUAUUUUUAUUUUUGAGAAAUGAGUUCAAAAGGUAAAAAUAUUUUUGAAUUUUUAGAUUGUGACGAACAAAAGCCAUAAAAAAGCUCUAAAAAAACUAUGAACUCUUUUUGUUUUAUUCGCAUUUUCUAUUUUUUUCCUUUUUUUUCGAUUUUACAUGCCCACACACUUUACUUCUAACACAUGCUUUCCCCCACACCAGUCUGUUAAAUGACCACGUUACCCUCAAAGAUGCAACAUUUAGCACAUAGAAAUGCUUUAGAGGUGAGUCUUCUACAAAGGACCAAGUGGAUCCCGCUAGGUCUCAAUAUGAUGCAAAUAAGCAUGACCUAAAGGCUGACCUACACUGGGGUUCACUAACAAGACUGUUUGGGGGAGCGUAUGGUCGAUAGUGGCUGCUUUGGCUAUCCACUUACUCAAUACCAGCUGACAGCUUCCCAUCCUAAAAUAAGGGUGACUCAACUAUAGGUCGUGUACAUAGCGUGUACUACAGAACUUGUUACAGAAAGAAUGACUCGGGUUAUUUACAUGAUGUCAGAUAUAAAGCGGUAAAACAUAAAUAAAAACUGUAAACAAAGAGCACAUGGACACUCAACAAUGAUAAACAAUAACACAAAACAACACAAACAAAAUGUCUAUACACCUAUAAUGCCAAACUAAGCCGAUACAACUCUAAAAUAAGCUCGAAUUUAAAAAAAAUCCCCAACAGAGUUGCCAGAGCUGUCACACCCCUUUUUUACAAUCGAAAGAUAUGAUUUUAAGUGUGAAAAGAUUUUUAUUAUUAAAGUGAAAUAAAUGAAGAUUUAUUUUCGAAAAGGAUUAUUUACAUUCCAAACUCAGUGUCGCCACUUGGCAUAAAUCUUGUGUGCGAAGUCACCUUUGGAAAUCUUUUUAUGAAAAAUGAUUUUUGACUUUGACACUGAUCCGCGAACAGAGAUUCAAACUAAGGAAUUCUGUUGACUGAGGAAAAGGUGUUAGGGGUCCGUCGAUCCCGUAGUUCGACCCCGAUCGCUUGGGAGAAUGUAUUGGUUAAUUUGACACUACAGAUGUACGAAUCACACAAAAACACGUACAAAAAUCACACAAACAAACAAAAUAAAAUGAAUAAAAAUAUAGUCCGAGUUAUACAGUCCAAAAAUAAAAAAUACUAAAAUAUAAAUUCUAUUCUAGAUUAAUCUUAAACUAUGCUUCAAUGUUUUACGUGAUGCCGCGGGCCUUCAUCAGGACCAUCUUCCACCAACAUGAUAUGACGGGGCAUUCUCCGGUGAAUAAAUACAAUGAGCCUUGGGGCAUUCCCCGACUAAAUGAAUACAUUUGAAUUAAAUACGAUAAACUAGAAACAAACAUUCACACGCACAUUUAAACAUUCAAAACAUUCAAUAAACAAAUUACUCCUAAAUUUUUGCCUACCCGAGCCUAUAUUGCCUAUCCAUUUCAAUAGGUCAUAAAUCUAUCACAUUCAUACUUAUUCAGAAUUAAACAACAAUAAACCAAAGUUAAUCUACAUUUCACUUAUCAAUUUCUCCAUUCCGUCCCAACUUUCCUUUUAACACUAAAUUUUCACAAUUAACGAUUUCUAUUUCAACGAUCUACAACUACUCUUCAACAAAAUUAAGUAACAAGUCAAUAUCAAAGUAGCAAUUCAUUAUGAAUCAAGAUCAAACAACACCCGAUAUUCCAUUUAAUGUACCAUAUUCCAUCAACAAUGAAAUAAAAAGAGGAAAGAGAUAGAAAUAGACCCCAUAUUGCAUCAACAAUGAAAUAAAAAGAGGAAAAGGUAGAAAUGUACCUCAAUUGAAGCUUUUAUUAUGCCAAAUUAUAUGACCAAAAGUCGAGAUCGCAUCUGAAAACUUCAAUCGAACCCCAAUACAAACUAAUUUCCAACCUCGAUCGACUCCAUUGUUUUGCCAACAGAAACCAGAAUCAAAAUUGAGGAAGACUCAGACCCGUUUGCAUCAUUUUUCGGUCGGAAUCCACGUUGGAUUUAUCGCCGAAACUCUAGCAUAAUCGGGACGCCGGAAAUGGACCUCUCUUAGUCUCCCUCUGAUUUUUCUCUCUUUUCUAUGGUGCUUAUUUGUAUAUGGCUCUCUUAUCUUCUCCGAUCCUCUCUUCUCUCUCGUCGUCUCUCUCGAUUACUCCAAUCACACGCUCAGCUCUCCAUUUUCAGUAUGUGUAGUGUUCUUUCUGUGUAAUCAAUGGAUAAAAAUGGGGAGGGUGUGAGGUUGUGUUCAGGGUGAGUAUGAGCGUUAAUCUAUGUGUAUGGCAGUGAGGUGAGUGAUUUAUGUGUAAAUGGGCAAAGAAAAAUGGAGUGUCUAUGGUCUGUGUAUCAGUGAGGAUGACGGUGAGAAUUGUGUGUUCAAAAUAGUCAGGAUUUUUUUGUGUAUAUGGCGUGAUCUGUGUGUUUUGCCGUGGAUGGGAGUAUCUAUGAAGUGUGUCAUGGAUGAGAGAGGCCUCCCACUCUCUCAAGGGACUGUGUUUGUGUAUAUAAUUCUCUGUGAUGGUGCUGGUCCAGAGGAAAAAAAAUGGCGUGAGGUGUCUGCGUGCAUUCAAUUAAAAAAAAUAGAAUUCCGUGG